AUUGAACGCUGGCGGCAGGCCUAACACAUGCAAGUCGAACGGUAACAGGAAGCAGCUUGCUGCUUCGCUGACGAGUGGCGGACGGGUGAGUAAUGUCUGGGAAACUGCCUGAUGGAGGGGGAUAACUACUGGAAACGGUAGCUAAUACCGCAUAACGUCUCAAGACCAAAGAGGGGGACCUUAGGGCCUCUUGCCAUCGGAUGUGCCCAGAUGGGAUUAGCUAGUAGGUGGGGUAACGGCUCACCUAGGCGACGAUCCCUAGCUGGUCUGAGAGGAUGACCAGCCACACUGGAACUGAGACACGGUCCAGACUCCUACGGGAGGCAGCAGUGGGGAAUAUUGCACAAUGGGCGCAAGCCUGAUGCAGCCAUGCCGCGUGUAUGAAGAAGGCCUUCGGGUUGUAAAGUACUUUCAGCGGGGAGGAAGGGAGUAAAGUUAAUACCUUUGCUCAUUGACGUUACCCGCAGAAGAAGCACCGGCUAACUCCGUG
Molecule: ribosomal RNA, 490 nt
Filed under: uncultured bacterium
Lineage: Bacteria
Description: partial 16S ribosomal RNA
Rfam family: Bacterial small subunit ribosomal RNA
Source: RNAcentral